AAUCCAUAGGUUAAUGAGGCGAACCGGGGGAACUGAAACAUCUAAGUACCCCGAGGAAAAGAAAUCAACCGAGAUUCCCCCAGUAGCGGCGAGCGAACGGGGAGGAGCCCAGAGCCUGAAUCAGCAUGUGUGUUAGUGGAAGCGUCUGGAAAGGCGCGCGAUACAGGGUGACAGCCCCGUACACAAAAGCGCAUGUGCUGUGAGCUCGAUGAGUAGGGCGGGACACGUGGUAUCCUGUCUGAAUAUGGGGGGACCAUCCUCCAAGGCUAAAUACUCCUGACUGACCGAUAGUGAACCAGUACCGUGAGGGAAAGGCGAAAAGAACCCCGGCGAGGGGAGUGAAAAAGAACCUGAAACCGUGUACGUACAAGCAGUGGGAGCACCCUUUGGGUGUGACUGCGUACCUUUUGUAUAAUGGGUCAGCGACUUAUAUUCUGUAGCAAGGUUAACCGAAUAGGGGAGCCGGAGGGAAACCGAGUCUUAACCGGGCGUUAAGUUGCAGGGUAUAGACCCGAAACCCGGUGAUCUAGCCAUGGGCAGGUUGAAGGUUGGGUAACACUAACUGGAGGACCGAACCGACUAAUGUUGAAAAAUUAGCGGAUGACCUGUGGCUGGGGGUGAAAGGCCAAUCAAACCGGGAGAUAGCUGGUUCUCCCCGAAAGCUAUUUAGGUAGCGCCUCGUGAAUUCAUCUCCGGGGGUAGAGCACUGUUUCGGCUAGGGGGCCAUCCCGGCUUACCAACCCGAUGCAAACUGCGAAUACCGGAGAAUGUUAUCACGGGAGACACACGGCGGGUGCUAACGUCCGUCGUGAAGAGGGAAACAACCCAGACCGCCAGCUAAGGUCCCAAAGUCAUGGUUAAGUGGGAAACGAUGUGGGAAGGCCCAGACAGCCAGGAUGUUGGCUUAGAAGCAGCCAUCAUUUAAAGAAAGCGUAAUAGCUCACUGGUCGAGUCGGCCUGCGCGGAAGAUGUAACGGGGCUAAACCAUGCACCGAAGCUGCGGCAGCGACACUGUGUGUUGUUGGGUAGGGGAGCGUUCUGUAAGCCUGUGAAGGUGUGUCGUGAGGCAUGCUGGAGGUAUCAGAAGUGCGAAUGCUGACAUAAGUAACGAUAAAGCGGGUGAAAAGCCCGCUCGCCGGAAGACCAAGGGUUCCUGUCCAACGUUAAUCGGGGCAGGGUGAGUCGACCCCUAAGGCGAGGCCGAAAGGCGUAGUCGAUGGGAAACGGGUUAAUAUUCCCGUACUUGGUGUUACUGCGAAGGGGGGACGGAGAAGGCUAUGUUGGCCGGGCGACGGUUGUCCCGGUUUAAGCGUGUAGGUGUGUGUUCCAGGUAAAUCCGGUUCACUUUAACACUGAGGCGUGACGACGAGGCACUACGGUGCUGAAGCAACAAAUGCCCUGCUUCCAGGAAAAGCCUCUAAGCAUCAGGUAACAUCAAAUCGUACCCCAAACCGACACAGGUGGUCAGGUAGAGAAUACCAAGGCGCUUGAGAGAACUCGGGUGAAGGAACUAGGCAAAAUGGUGCCGUAACUUCGGGAGAAGGCACGCUGACACGUAGGUGAAGUGAUUUACUCAUGGAGCUGAAGUCAGUCGAAGAUACCAGCUGGCUGCAACUGUUUAUUAAAAACACAGCACUGUGCAAACACGAAAGUGGACGUAUACGGUGUGACGCCUGCCCGGUGCCGGAAGGUUAAUUGAUGGGGUCAGCGCAAGCGAAGCUCCUGAUCGAAGCCCCGGUAAACGGCGGCCGUAACUAUAACGGUCCUAAGGUAGCGAAAUUCCUUGUCGGGUAAGUUCCGACCUGCACGAAUGGCGUAAUGAUGGCCAGGCUGUCUCCACCCGAGACUCAGUGAAAUUGAACUCGCUGUGAAGAUGCAGUGUACCCGCGGCAAGACGGAAAGACCCCGUGAACCUUUACUAUAGCUUGACACUGAACAUUGAGCCUUGAUGUGUAGGAUAGGUGGGAGGCUUUGAAGUGUGGACGCCAGUCUGCAUGGAGCCGACCUUGAAAUACCACCCUUUAAUGUUUGAUGUUCUAACGUGGACCCGUUACCCGGGUUGCGGACAGUGUCUGGUGGGUAGUUUGACUGGGGCGGUCUCCUCCUAAAGAGUAACGGAGGAGCACGAAGGUUGGCUAAUCCUGGUCGGACAUCAGGAGGUUAGUGCAAUGGCAUAAGCCAGCUUGACUGCGAGCGUGACGGCGCGAGCAGGUGCGAAAGCAGGUCAUAGUGAUCCGGUGGUUCUGAAUGGAAGGGCCAUCGCUCAACGGAUAAAAGGUACUCCGGGGAUAACAGGCUGAUACCGCCCAAGAGUUCAUAUCGACGGCGGUGUUUGGCACCUCGAUGUCGGCUCAUCACAUCCUGGGGCUGAAGUAGGUCCCAAGGGUAUGGCUGUUCGCCAUUUAAAGUGGUACGCGAGCUGGGUUUAGAACGUCGUGAGACAGUUCGGUCCCUAUCUGCCGUGGGCGCUGGAGAACUGAGGGGGGCUGCUCCUAGUACGAGAGGACCGGAGUGGACGCAUCACUGGUGUUCGGGUUGUCAUGCCAAUGGCACUGCCCGGUAGCUAAAUGCGGAAGAGAUAAGUGCUGAAAGCAUCUAAGCACGAAACUUGCCCCGAG
This 2618-nucleotide ribosomal RNA is filed under the name Salmonella enterica. RNAcentral's name for it is "partial 23S ribosomal RNA". It matches the Rfam family "Bacterial large subunit ribosomal RNA". The record is from RNAcentral. Lineage: Bacteria; Pseudomonadati; Pseudomonadota; Gammaproteobacteria; Enterobacterales; Enterobacteriaceae. RNAcentral also lists the same sequence under 2 other names.